Molecule: ribosomal RNA, 234 nt
Filed under: uncultured bacterium
Lineage: Bacteria
Description: partial 16S ribosomal RNA
Rfam family: Bacterial small subunit ribosomal RNA
Source: RNAcentral
AAUCAACGCUGGCGGCGUGCCUCAGACAUGCAAGUCGAACGCGAAAGUCUCCUUCGGGGGACGAAGUAGAGUGGCGCACGGGUGAGUAACACGUAGGUAAUCUACCUUCGGAGUGGGAAGUAACAACCGGAAACGGUUGCUAAUACCGCAUAAUGCAGCGGCACCUAAUGGUGACAGUUGUUAAAGCGGGGGAGUCUAAGACCUCGCGUCUGAAGAGGAGCCUGCGGCGGAUUA